RNAcentral lists this ribosomal RNA (328 nucleotides) under uncultured eukaryote. RNAcentral's name for it is "partial 18S ribosomal RNA". It matches the Rfam family "Eukaryotic small subunit ribosomal RNA", at positions 1470 to 1796 of the family's 1831-position model. The record is from RNAcentral.
CCCUUAGAUGUUCUGGGCCGCACGCGCGCUACACUGAUGCAUUCAACGAGUUUCUUCCUGGUCCGAGAGGAAUGGGUAACCUUUUGAAAGUGCAUCGUGAUAGGGAUAGACUAUUGCAAUUAUUGGUCUUCAACGAGGAAUUCCUAGUAGACGUAGUUCAUCAGACUGCAUCGAUUACGUCCCUGCCCUUUGUACACACCGCCCGUCGCUCCUACCGAUUGAGUGUGUUGGUGAGGAGUUUGGAUUGGCCUCGGAAGGUGGUUCGCCACCGUCCGUAGCUGAGAAGUUCUCCAAACCGCCCCACUUAGAGGAAGGAGAAGUCGUAACA